AUACGUAGGUGGCAAGCGUUGUCCGGAUUUACUGGGUGUAAAGGGCGUGUAGGCGGAGAUGCAAGUCAGGAGUGAAAUCUAGGGGCUCAACCCCUAAACUGCUUUUGAAACUGUAUCCCUUGAGUAUCGGAGAGGCAGGCGGGAUUCCUAGUGUAGCGGGUGAAAGAGUAGAUAUUGGGAGGAACACCAGUGGCGAAGGCGACUUACUGGGCCGUAACUGACGCUGAGGCGCGAAAGCGUGGGGAGCGAACAGGAUCAGAUACCCUGGUAGUCCACGCGGUAAACGAUGAAUGCUAGGUGUUGCGGGUAUCGACCCCUGCAGUGCCGGAGUAAACACAAUAAGCAUUCCGCCUGGGGAGUACGGCCGCAAGGUUGAAACUCAAAUGAAUUGGCGGGG
This 397-nucleotide ribosomal RNA is filed under the name uncultured bacterium. RNAcentral describes it as "partial 16S ribosomal RNA". It matches the Rfam family "Bacterial small subunit ribosomal RNA", at positions 523 to 918 of the family's 1533-position model. The record is from RNAcentral.